AGGGCACCACCAGGGGUGGAGCCUGCGGCUUAAUUUGACUCAACACGGGGAAACUCAUCCGGUCCGGACACCGUGAGGAUUGACAGAUUGAGAGCUCUUUCUUGAUUUGGUGGGCAGKGGUGCAUGGCCGUUCUUAGUUGGKGGAGUGAUUUGUCUGGUUUAUUCCGAUAACGAACGAGACUCUGGCCUACUAACUAGUUGCGCGAUUGAGGAGUCGUGCCAACUUCUUAGAGGGACAAGCGGUGCUCAGCCGCAUGAAAAAGAGCAAUAACAGGUCUGUGAUGCCCUUCGAUGUUCGGAGCUGCACGCGCGCUACACUGUGAGUGGCAGCAUGUUAGCUUGCCUCGCUCGCAAGAGUGGGGUAAUCGGUUGAAAAUCUCACGUGAUUGGGAUAGGGACUUGUAAUUAUUUCCCUUGAACGAGGAAUCCCUAGUAAGUGCAGGUCAUCAGCUUGCGCUGAUUACGUCCCUGCCCUUUGUACACACCGCCCGUCGCUGCCCGGAACUGAAGCAUCUCGAG
This 519-nucleotide ribosomal RNA is filed under the name uncultured eukaryote. RNAcentral's name for it is "SSU rRNA". It matches the Rfam family "Eukaryotic small subunit ribosomal RNA", at positions 1172 to 1723 of the family's 1831-position model. The record is from RNAcentral.